UUACAGAAUGAUUCAUUAUCUGGAAAUCCCCAGGUCCCUGUAUAUAAUGGGGGGGGGAGUAUUUAUCAAACAAUGAAACAAAGCCUGGCACAGAGUAAUUCUGCCACUUUAUAUUAACUUGUAUAGGGGUGUUUUUAUCAAAAGGUCAAAAUGAAAGGCCACUAACAACCCCGUACAAAUGAAUAGAGAGCAGCAUAAUUUCCCUCUGGCCAUCUGGGGUGGGCUCUCUUUCACCUUUUUAUAAAUAUGCCUAAUAAGUGAUCACAGAUUCCAAUUUGAGAAGUUCAUUUUUAUUUAUAUAAAAUAAUAUUUACAAUCAGCACCAGUAGCUUCUAGCUGAGCUAUGUUUUUUUACCCCUUAUUGCCGGGAAAUAUUGCAACUUUAGACAGUCGUUCAUUUUUAAUGUAUUCUUUUAUUGAAAUAUCAGAAAGGUACACACAAAAGAAUAAAAUAAUGAUUUUAUAGAAGAAUUACUGUUGGCAAGACGGGAUCACAAUAUCAUUUUUUAUACAUUUAAUAAUAAUCAUCAAUGUAAUGUGCCUGAUCAUUUCCAUAAUAAAAUAACCCUUAAUAAUAAUAAAUACGUGACUAAUGCUGUCACCAUGUAAGCUUUAACAAUGCUGCUUUGUGGGUCGUCUUAGGAUACCUGUAUAUGUAAGCAAAGUAAGAAAGAUAUUUCCUUUAGCAUGGGAAAUAUAUCCAAAAUAUAGCACUGCCGGCUUAUGAAAGAAUAACGUGUUCUCAAAGGGCAGAAAACCUUGGACUAAAACCUAAGCAGAGUUUAUGCAGUAAUAAGCAAUCAGAGGAGGCAUUCCCAUAGUUAAAUACAUGAAUUAACAUUUCCACUGCUAGCCACUCUAUUGUAAGAAAUUGCAGUCUUUAUUUUGGUAUUAAAAGCAUUUUUUCAGGGAACUUACACAAAGCCCCAAUUAUGAUAACAAAGGGUUUCCUGUGACUACUAAGUCCUACGUCUGCUGUGGGGACCAUAAAUCAAUUUACUGUAUGUGAGAAAACUUGCUCAACAGGAUGAAGCCAAGUUGGGGGUUUAUCACAGCAUCUUGGCAGUUGGGAGGGUUUCUGUGGGGGGCAGGUGAGAACCCAGGAUAAAAAGAACGCUGGACAGAGGAAAAGGAGCUGGGCAGCUGAGAGGAGGAAGGAGAGAGCUGGAGAAGCCAGGAGCCUGGGACAAGACAACAUGUGAGGAAUGAAGACCAGAGGGGAAGGCAGAGAUGAAGCUGAACUCUAUUCCCCUGCCUUUUUGUGAGAGCUGGGAGCUUGGGGAAUUAUAUCAGAGAGUCGGUUGCACUGGCAGAUACAUUAGAUAACUUCAACAAAAGGCUGGAUGCCUUCUUAGCUAGAGAAAAUUCAAGGUGAUUGAUCCAGGGAUUCUUGGAAUCAGGAAGAAAAGUUUUCCUCCACUGACCCAACAAGAGAUUGCUUAGCUGAUCCAGAAAUUAACAAAAUAAACAGUUUGAACUUGAGAGACUCAAUGAUGUUAUUUUCCCUGAUCUAUUUCCAAAAUAGUAUAAAAAUUACCAGAAAUGUACUUCUUCCUGUGAACAUGUACCGUACUCAUU
This is a long non-coding RNA of Xenopus laevis (African clawed frog), 1578 nucleotides long. RefSeq lists it as uncharacterized. The record is from RefSeq and is a predicted model, not a curated record. Lineage: Eukaryota; Metazoa; Chordata; Amphibia; Anura; Pipidae. The transcript is spliced from 3 exons.